RNAcentral lists this long non-coding RNA (1284 nucleotides) under Malurus cyaneus samueli. RNAcentral describes it as "lncRNA (ENSMCSG00000000564.1)". Lineage: Eukaryota; Metazoa; Chordata; Aves; Passeriformes; Maluridae. The record is from RNAcentral.
AUACACAUUACCUGGAAACACAAAGCUGCAUGCUGAUGAAGAAAGUUUUCAUGGACUUUGUGUCCACAUCUCUUCACUCCAAAGAGAGAGCAAAGACCAUAGGGCCCAGCUGUAGAGUACCAAUUGCUGCUGUCCCUUGGAGCACCUGUGAUGGUCAGGUGAGACUUGAUGAAGCAGCCUGUUUUGUUUUUUGCCAGCCACAAAAACCCUGCAUUAAAUUGAGUGAAGGUGUAGCUAGAAUGCCCGAGGGCACAAAUGCAGUUGUUCAGGAAAAAGAGAGAGGUGCUCAUGUUGCUCCAAGACAGUCAAGAUGUUGGUGGUUCUGGGCACUUCUUUAGUCAUACACGUGAGCAGUGUUAAACAUUUACACUUCUAUUAAACAUUGCAUGGAUCAGAAAAAAAGCCCUGUCUGAGGACACAGAUAAAUGCUGAUGUAGCCAUGCAGAGAAAGUAGAAGUCAGUGCUCUCGGGGCCAGCUGGCUCCAAUGUUUGUUGUCCCCAAACAUUCACAACAGCCAUCUGCAAACACACUUAGAAGAGGGGAGGUCCAUGGCUUUGAGCAGCUGGACUAUCCCAUACACCUUCCUAGCUUAUUGCCAGCUGGUGAAACAAGGGGUAAGACGUCUCCUGAAGUGUGUUACGGCUUGCACUGGGGCUUUAGUGUUCUGAUCAUGCAGUUGGGGCCCCUGCUUCAGCAUGGCACUAAGAAAAGCAGAGCAGAAGAGGUAGUUAACAUGUAACUUGUUUUUUCUUCCCUCCACAAAUGAACUUGGCAGCAGUUCAGAAAUAGUCCUACAUUCAAGGGCUUUCUUUGAGCCUUGGUUCAGUCACAACAGGGGAAGAACCCUGGGCACUGGACCCCAUCGUGCCGCUGCAGGGCCAGCUGAAGCAAAAGAGAGCAGGAAAGAGAUGGUGCUGUAAAGCACCAAAGCAAGCAUUGAGGCUAAUUCUGGAUUCCCUGGGUGACUCUGAGGUGAACCAAAACACGCCUCAGUACAGUGAGAAAACAGUGUCAGAGACACAAGCACAAAUCUUUUUGCCAUUCAACAUUCCUCUGUAUUAGUGAAAUCUUGUUGAAAGUCAGCAUGGAUUGAUUUUUGAAACGCUUUCAAAAUCUGCUUCUCUUUGCUUCCAUUAUCCUCAUGAGGUGCCUUGAAGAAGAGGUUCAUGAUCCUACCAGGGAGGUCAGCAGAGGUUCUCCAAGCCAGCAGUUGGUCCACCCCAGGGCCUGCUUCUGGAGACAGUGUGUAAAGCAUGCCUACACUACUACUUUGUUUUACACCU